Molecule: ribosomal RNA, 211 nt
Filed under: Salmonella enterica
Lineage: Bacteria; Pseudomonadati; Pseudomonadota; Gammaproteobacteria; Enterobacterales; Enterobacteriaceae
Also listed under: 1 other name
Description: partial 23S ribosomal RNA
Rfam family: Bacterial large subunit ribosomal RNA
Source: RNAcentral
AUAGGGGAGCCGGAGGGAAACCGAGUCUUAAUUGGGCGUUAAGUUGCAGGGUAUAGACCCGAAACCCGGUGAUCUAGCCAUGGGCAGGUUGAAGGUUGGGUAACACUAACUGGAGGACCGAACCGACUAAUGUUGAAAAAUUAGCGGAUGACCUGUGGCUGGGGGUGAAAGGCCAAUCAAACCGGGAGAUAGCUGGUUCUCCCCGAAAGCU